This 560-nucleotide ribosomal RNA is filed under the name uncultured Glomus. RNAcentral's name for it is "partial small subunit ribosomal RNA". It matches the Rfam family "Eukaryotic small subunit ribosomal RNA", at positions 539 to 1102 of the family's 1831-position model. Lineage: Eukaryota; Fungi; Glomeromycota; Glomeromycetes; Glomerales; Glomeraceae. The record is from RNAcentral.
UUUUUUUGGAGGGCAAGUCUGGUGCCAGCAGCCGCGGUAAUUCCAGCUCCAAUAGCGUAUAUUAAAGUUGUUGCAGUUAAAAAGCUCGUAGUUGAAUUUCGGGAUCAAUACGUCGGUCGUGCCACGGUAUGUACUGGCGUCAUUGAUUUCUCCCUUCUGACGAACCAUGAUGUCAUUAAGUUGGUGUCAUGGGGGGUCAGGACUGUUACCUUGAAAAAAUUAGAGUGUUUAAAGCAGGCUCACGCUUGAAUACAUUAGCAUGGAAUAAUGAAAUAGGACGUUUGAACCUAUUUUGUUGGUUUCUAGGAUCAACGUAAUGAUUAAUAGGGAUAGUUGGGGGCAUUAGUAUUCAAUUGUCAGAGGUGAAAUUCUUGGAUUUAUUGAAGACUAACUACUGCGAAAGCAUUUGCCAAGGAUGUUUUCAUUAAUCAAGAACGAAAGUUAGGGGAUCGAAGACGAUCAGAUACCGUCGUAGUCUUAACCAUAAACUAUGCCGACUAGGGAUCGGAUGAUGUUAAUUUUUUAAUGACUCAUUCGGCGCCCUUACGGGGAAACAAAAA